CCUACGGGAGGCAGCAGUGGGGGAUAUUGGACAAUGGGGGGAACCCUGAUCCAGCGACGCCGCGUGAGUGAAGAAGUAUCUCGGUAUGUAAAGCUCUAUCAGCAGGGAAGAAGAAAUGACGGUACCUGAGUAAGAAGCCCAGGCUAACUACGUGCCAGCAGCCGCGGUAAUACGUAGGGGGCAAGCGUUAUCCGGAAUUACUGGGUGUAAAGGGAGCGUAGACGGUGAUGUAAGUCUGGAGUGAAAGGCGGGGGCCCAACCCCCGGACUGCUCUGGAAACUAUGUGACUGGAGUGCAGGAGAGGUGAGCGGAAUUCCUGGUGUAGCGGUGAAAUGCGUAGAUAUCAGGAGGAACACCGGUGGCGAAGGCGGCCUGCUGGACUGCAACUGACGUUGAGGCCCGAAAGCGUGGGGAGCAAACAGGAUUAGAUACCCCAGUAGUC
RNAcentral lists this ribosomal RNA (442 nucleotides) under uncultured bacterium. Its description in RNAcentral is "partial 16S ribosomal RNA". It matches the Rfam family "Bacterial small subunit ribosomal RNA", at positions 338 to 795 of the family's 1533-position model. The record is from RNAcentral.